AACGAACGCUGGCGGCAUGCCUAACACAUGCAAGUCGAACGAGACCUUCGGGUCUAGUGGCGCACGGGUGCGUAACGCGUGGGAACCUGCCCUUAGGUUCGGAAUAACUCCCCGAAAGGGGUGCUAAUACCGGAUAAUGUCUUCUGACCAAAGAUUUAUCGCCUUUGGAUGGGCCCGCGUUGUAUUAGCUAGUUGGUAGGGUAAAAGCCUACCAAGGCGACGAUCCAUAGCUGGUCUGAGAGGAUGAUCAGCCACACUGGGACUGAGAAACGGCCGAGAAUCCUACGGGAGGCAGCAGUGGGGGAUAUUGGACAACGGGCGAAAGCCUGAUCCAGCAAUGCCGCGUGAGUGCUGAAGGCCUUAGGGUUGUAAAGCUCUUUUACCCGGGAUGAUAAUGACAGUACCGGGAGAAUAAGCUCCGGCUAACUCCGUG
This 433-nucleotide ribosomal RNA is filed under the name uncultured bacterium. Its description in RNAcentral is "partial 16S ribosomal RNA". It matches the Rfam family "Bacterial small subunit ribosomal RNA", at positions 29 to 507 of the family's 1533-position model. The record is from RNAcentral.